RNAcentral lists this ribosomal RNA (228 nucleotides) under Triticum aestivum (bread wheat). RNAcentral's name for it is "partial small subunit ribosomal RNA". The record is from RNAcentral. Lineage: Eukaryota; Viridiplantae; Streptophyta; Magnoliopsida; Poales; Poaceae.
AUGGACCAUUCCAUCCCUUUUUCCCGUGCAUAUGCAUCGGACUCGGAUGACGAUGGUCCCGAUGAACAAGUUGAUGCGGAGGGGUUCACGGUGAAGGAGGCCAAAGCUUUCGAGAAGGUAUUUGGUCGGGAUCAUCGGACUACAUUGUUCAAGGAUGUUAGUCUCGCGGAUGAAGCCGUGGUAGAUGGUAGCCAAUGUGUACCUCUUGGGGUUAGGCCAAGCUCUCAC